Molecule: ribosomal RNA, 253 nt
Filed under: uncultured bacterium
Lineage: Bacteria
Description: partial 16S ribosomal RNA
Rfam family: Bacterial small subunit ribosomal RNA
Source: RNAcentral
UACGUAGGUGGCAAGCGAUACUCGGAAUCACUAGGCGUAAAGCGCAGGUAGGCGGUUUGGUAAGUCUUUUGUGAAAGCUCCUGGCUUAACUGGGAGAGGUCAAAGGAAACUACCAGGCUAGAGUUUGGUAGGGGAUACUGGAAUUCCUGGUGUAGCGGUGAAAUGCGUAGAUAUCAGGAGGAAUACCUAUGGCGAAAGCAGGUAUCUGGGCCACAACUGACGCUGAGCUGCGAAAGCUAGGGGAGCAAACAGG